UACGGGGGGGGCAAGCGUUGUUCGGAAUUACUGGGCGUAAAGGGCUCGUAGGCGGCCACCUAAGUCAGACGUGAAAUCCCUCGGCUUAACCGGGGAACUGCGUCUGAUACUGGAUGGCUUGAGUUUGGGAGAGGGAUGCGGAAUUCCAGGUGUAGCGGUGAAAUGCGUAGAUAUCUGGAGGAACACCGGUGGCGAAGGCGGCAUCCUGGACCAACACUGACGCUGAGUGAGCGAAAGCCAGGGGAGCAAACGGG
RNAcentral lists this ribosomal RNA (254 nucleotides) under uncultured bacterium. RNAcentral's name for it is "partial 16S ribosomal RNA". It matches the Rfam family "Bacterial small subunit ribosomal RNA", at positions 524 to 776 of the family's 1533-position model. The record is from RNAcentral.